GUCUGUGUGUAUAUUCAAUAUACAGUCUAGCCUGCCCACUGAAAGUUUUAAAGGGCCGCGGUAUUUGAACCGUGCUAAGGUAGCAUAAUAAAUAGUCUUUUAAUUGAGGUCUAGUAUGAAUGGUUGGACAUGAAGUAUACUGUUUCAGUCGCAAAAAUUGAAUUUUACUUUUAAGUGAAAAGGCUUAAAUUUGAUGGUGGGACGAUAAGACCCUAUAAAGCUUUAUAUCUUACAGGCAAAUUACGGAGUAUAAGGUUUUCUAAUAUUGGUAUGUGAGGUAUUUCGUUGGGGCGACGUAAAUAUAAUAAGUAACUGUUUUUAUAUAAAAAUAGACCUAUUUAGAUUAUUUGAUCCUUUUUAAAGAUUAUAAGAAUUAAGUUACUUUAGGGAUAACAGCGUAAUUUUCUUUGAGAGUUCAUAUCGACAAGAAUAGUUGCGACCUCGAUGUUGAAUUAAGAUAUUUCCAAGGUGUAGAAGUUUUGGUUGUAGGUCUGUUCGACCUUUAAAAUCUUACAUGAUUUGAGUUCAGACCGGCGUG
RNAcentral lists this ribosomal RNA (538 nucleotides) under Caridina celebensis. RNAcentral describes it as "partial 16S ribosomal RNA". It matches the Rfam family "Bacterial large subunit ribosomal RNA", at positions 1819 to 2623 of the family's 2925-position model. Lineage: Eukaryota; Metazoa; Arthropoda; Malacostraca; Decapoda; Atyidae. The record is from RNAcentral.